GUCCCUGUAGCGCAAUGGAUAGCACGUUGGACUUCUAAUCUAAAGGUCAUGGGUUCGAAUCCUACCUGGGAUA
Molecule: transfer RNA, 73 nt
Filed under: Trichonephila inaurata madagascariensis
Lineage: Eukaryota; Metazoa; Arthropoda; Arachnida; Araneae; Nephilidae
Rfam family: tRNA
About the family: Transfer RNA (tRNA) molecules are approximately 80 nucleotides in length. Their secondary structure includes four short double-helical elements and three loops (D, anti-codon, and T loops).
Source: Rfam by way of RNAcentral